Non-coding RNA from Sardina pilchardus (European sardine), 1078 nucleotides. Lineage: Eukaryota; Metazoa; Chordata; Actinopteri; Clupeiformes; Clupeidae. The record is from the annotation of a RefSeq genome assembly.
AUACAUGGUUCUCAGAUGGAAGAAGAUGCCCUCUCCCGUGACUGCCAGUGGAUCCUGAGUCUCUGUGGCCGUCUUCAAGACCACUUCACAGGGGAAAAGAGGGAUCCAACAUACUAUGAGCUGGAAAAAGACAAAAAGAAAGCCUGCCUGGCCACUGACUUCAGUUCUCAUAAUGCAACUGACGAGGAGACCCCUUUCAGUAAAACGAAAACGACAAUAAAUGCCAAUCGUAUUGAGGGGGACAAGUUCUAUAGCAAGGCUGUCAUCAUGUUAGAGAAUGACAAAUGCCCCUAUACAGGAUCCAAUACUUGUGAAGGUGAAUCAGGUGGAGAAAUUGAACCAGAUGAAAAGUUGAACUUUUUGUCGCUGAGUGUUCUGGGUCUGAGAAUCCUCUUCCUGAAAACCAUUGUGUUCAACGUUCUGAUGACUGUCCGGGUCUGGAUGAGAUAGUCAUGUCUGUGACUAGGGAGGAAAAUUGGUCUACCCGAGUUGCCUGAAUCAUGUGCGAUUGGAUCACACACACACACACACACACACACACACACACACACACACACACACACACAUAUACACACAAAUCUUGACUGUAUACAAUGCUUUGUAUUAUUCUGACUAGAACGUUCAUUCAUUCAUUCAUUCAUUUAACAAAUACAGUUGACUGAAACUAAACAUUUUGAUGAAACAGUUUUUAUUAUAAAUUUUUGGAGUGCAUGACAUAAUUAUGCCAUGUCAUUAUACAGAAUGACUUCCGUAUCUGUACAUGUUAAUCUACUUCAAACGAUUAGUUCUGUAAUGCAUACUAUACACCUAACUGUUCAAUUAUGUGUUAAGCCUGAUUGUGUGUGGAUUUAUGUCUGCAAUUUUCCUUACCAGUGUUUUAAUCACAGAAUGGCUAUAAUUACUUGCUUAAUUGUAAAGCAUGAGUGAGUUACUUUUUUAAUUGUACUACACAGAUAUUUUAUUUCAGUAGUGAAAAACAGGUUUUUCGCUUCAAUAUAUUGUAUAUACUGACUCCUGGAUAAUCAUGUAUGUCUGUAAGAUAUUUUGUUGAAAAUAAAAUAAAUGAAUAAAUCAUGAA